RNAcentral lists this ribosomal RNA (506 nucleotides) under uncultured bacterium. RNAcentral describes it as "partial 16S ribosomal RNA". It matches the Rfam family "Bacterial small subunit ribosomal RNA", at positions 28 to 523 of the family's 1533-position model. The record is from RNAcentral.
GAUGAACGCUAGCUACAGGCUUAACACAUGCAAGUCGAGGGGUAACGAGAGGAAAGCUUGCUUUCCUUGUCGACGACCGGCGCACGGGUGAGUAACGCGUAUCCAACCUGCCCCCAACUAAGGAAUAACCUUGCGAAAGUAAGACUAAUACCUUAUAAUUUCCUCAGAUGUCAUCUGACGAGGAAUAAAGAUUUAUCGGUUGUGGAUGGGGAUGCGUCUGAUUAGCUUGUUGGCGGGGUAACGGCCCACCAAGGCAACGAUCAGUAGGGGUUCUGAGAGGAAGGUCCCCCACAUUGGAACUGAGACACGGUCCAAACUCCUACGGGAGGCAGCAGUGAGGAAUAUUGGUCAAUGGGCGAAAGCCUGAACCAGCCAAGUAGCGUGCAGGAUGACGGCCCUAUGGGUUGUAAGCUGCUUUUAUACAGGAAUAAAGUUAGCCACGUGUGGUUAUUUGUAGGUACUGUAUGAAUAAGGACCGGCUAAUUCCGUGCCAGCCGCCACGGUAA